This 894-nucleotide long non-coding RNA is filed under the name Coturnix japonica (Japanese quail). Its description in RNAcentral is "lncRNA (ENSCJPG00005009460.1)". Lineage: Eukaryota; Metazoa; Chordata; Aves; Galliformes; Phasianidae. The record is from RNAcentral.
AAUGUUUGGCCAGCUUGCUCACUGAUUUCUGUGCUUUGCCAAACACUGAAAGCCAAAACAGUGCUCCAGAAAAACACCCAGAGAGUGUUUUUGUUCCUCUUAGUGCUGCUUUCCAGUGGCUCACCACCUUCUCCCUGGAGAGGGAAGAGUAAAACAGACCAUGCAUACUGCAUUUUUCUUGUCCUUGACUGUCCUCCAAGGUUCCCUUCUUUGAUCACCAACAGCAGAAGCAGAUGGAUAAUCAAAUGUUGCAAGAGCAGAAGCCUGCUGAAUAGCACUCCUUGGUUCUUAGAUUAUGUAAUGGUUCCUGCUGUAGUUCUUAUUUUCACGUAUGUAAGAAUCUAUUAUAAUCAUGAAAAAGCUUCCUAGUUUGGCCUCAUAUCCAAGAUGAAUUUCUUUUUUUUUUUUUUUUUUUUUUUUUUUUUUUUUUUCCCUAGUACAAAGAAAAGCAUUCUGUAAGAGAAACUAAACAACCACAGUUCUUUGAUUGGAGGUAAUAUACUUACAACUUUACCUGGGUACCUUUCAGCUGAGAUGAAAGAAAAUUAGAAGGUAAAAUUUGUCAUGGAGAAGUCCAAUCUGUAUUAAUUUCUCAAGCAGAUUUUUACAAGGACUUAAAGCUUGUUUGCAGUAAAAAAUGAAAAAAGAGAAAAAAAGGAGAUGAACUCAAUUAAUCAAGCAAAUUAUUAGACACAUACAUUCAGCUAGGAAUAAUAUUUUUUAAAAGCAGCAAUGUUAAUGAAGUCUUUCAGAUUUGUCCUUCUCACAGGGCAGCUACAUUAGCUCAAGACCAAAUUCUGGUAUCAAUUUUGGCUUUGCAGAUAUACCGUUUAAUUACUGUCUGAGAAUAUUAAUAUAAAAUUAGGAUUUAUUCACAUGUAGUGUGUUCUACUU